Molecule: ribosomal RNA, 253 nt
Filed under: uncultured bacterium
Lineage: Bacteria
Description: partial 16S ribosomal RNA
Rfam family: Bacterial small subunit ribosomal RNA
Source: RNAcentral
AACGUAGGAGACAAACGUUAUCCGGAGUUACUGGGCGUAAAGGGCGUGUAGGUGGUUUCGUAAGUCUGGCGUGAAAUUUUUCGGCUUAACCGGGAAAGGUCGUCGGAUACUGCGGAACUAGAGGACGGUAGAGGCGUGUGGAAUUCCGGGUGUAGUGGUGAAAUGCGUAGAGAUCCGGAGGAACACCAGUGGCGAAGGCGGGUCUCUGGACAGUUCCUGACACUGAGACACGAAGGCCAGGGGAGCAAACGGG